Molecule: ribosomal RNA, 403 nt
Filed under: uncultured bacterium
Lineage: Bacteria
Description: bacterial SSU rRNA
Rfam family: Bacterial small subunit ribosomal RNA
Source: RNAcentral
UGAGGGAUAUUGGUCAAUGGGCGCAAGCCUGAACCAGCGACGCCGCGUGGGUGAAGAAGGUCUUCGGAUCGUAAAGCCCUUUUCCCACUGAAGAGGAAGGACGGUAGGUGGGGAAGAAGUCUCGGCUAACUACGUGCCAGCAGCCGCGGUAAAACGUAGGACCCAAGCGUUGUCCGGAUUUACUGGGUGUAAAGGGUGCGCAGGCGGAUGGGUGAGUCAGGGGUGAAAGUCUGCAGCUUAACUGUAGAAUUGCCUUUGAUACUGCUCAUCUUGAGUGUGGGAGAGGUUGAUGGAAUUCCAGGUGUAGCAGUGAAAUGCGUAGAUAUCUGGAAGAACACCAGUGGCGAAGGCGGUCAACUGGCCCAUAACUGACGCUCGUGCACGAAAGCGUGGGGAGCAAACA